RNAcentral lists this unclassified non-coding RNA (310 nucleotides) under plant metagenome. Its description in RNAcentral is "partial contains 5.8S ribosomal RNA, internal transcribed spacer 2, and large subunit ribosomal RNA". The stretch from base 1 to 105 matches the Rfam family "5.8S ribosomal RNA", at positions 50 to 154 of the family's 154-position model. The record is from RNAcentral.
GAAAUGCGAUAAGUAAUGUGAAUUGCAGAAUCUCGUGAAUCAUUGAAUCUUUGAACGCACAUUGCGCCCCUUGGUAUUCCAUGGGGCAUGCCUGUUCGAGCGUCAUUUGUACCCUCAAGCUCUGCUUGGUGUUGGGUGUUUGUCCCCGUCUCCGCGCGUGGACUCGCCCCAAAGUGAUUGGCAGCCGGCGUACUGGUCCCGGAGCGCAGCACAUGUCGCGCAAACGAGUGCCUUGGUACGGCGGCGUCCAUAAGCCCCUCUCUCACGCUCUUGACCUCGGAUCAGGUAGGGAUACCCGCUGAACUUAAGC